This is a long non-coding RNA of Gymnogyps californianus (California condor), 272 nucleotides long. RefSeq lists it as uncharacterized. The record is from RefSeq and is a predicted model, not a curated record. The transcript has 3 exons. NCBI's taxonomy places the organism in Eukaryota, Metazoa, Chordata, Aves, Accipitriformes, Cathartidae.
UAGGAAGCUUCGCCUCGUAAGAACUGUGAGACACCCACGUAUUCUCUUAGGUGGAGGACAUCCAAGCGACCGGAGUUACAGAAGAGGAAGGGAGGAGAGCAGGAGAAAGAAGUGUCUGAACUGGCAAAUUCUCCUGGCAGCACCGAGAGCGAGAGCUGCGAGGCAGCGCUGAGGCCUCAGUUGUGGGUUCCUCUGCGGGGACGUUGUGGACUGCAUCUGGCUCAGGUGGAUGACAGUCAAGUGACUGGAGCUACAGAGGAGGAAAGGAGGGG